Non-coding RNA from Microcebus murinus (gray mouse lemur), 153 nucleotides. The record is from RefSeq and is a predicted model, not a curated record. NCBI's taxonomy places the organism in Eukaryota, Metazoa, Chordata, Mammalia, Primates, Cheirogaleidae.
CUUCUUCCUCCUCUUCAGCCCAUUCAGCAUGAAAACAACAAGGAUGAAGACCUUAUCAUGAUCCACUUCCACCUAAGGAUGACUAUGGCUCCAAGGCAGGAACCGAAAAUUAUAUCUGCUCAGAUAGGGAACACAGCAGUCUGUACCCACUCU